RNAcentral lists this transfer RNA (69 nucleotides) under Haplotropis brunneriana. RNAcentral describes it as "tRNA-Gln". RNAcentral also lists the same sequence under 1 other name. The record is from RNAcentral. Lineage: Eukaryota; Metazoa; Arthropoda; Insecta; Orthoptera; Pamphagidae.
UACAUUUAGGUGUAUGAUGCACGUUAGUUUUUGAUACUAAAAGGGGUAGUUUGAGUCUAUCAUAUGUAA